AGCAGACCAGACGGUCGCCGGGGCAACCCGGAGGAAAGUCCGGACUCCAGCGGGCAGGAUGCUGGCUAACGGCCAGGCGCCAUACGGGGCAGAAGUGGGACGGCGUCCCACCAAUGCCCCCAAAGCGACGGACAGUGGCACAGAAAACGUACCGCCCGGCAGCACAAGCGGCCAGGCAAGGGUGAAAAGGUGGGGUAAGAGCCCACCGCGCGGCUGGUGACAGACGUGGCAGGCCAAACCCCAUCCGGAGCAACAUCAUGUAGGCACGCGACGCAGCUCCGGCUGCACAGGGCGCCCGCCCGAGCGUGCGGGUAGAUGGCUCGAGCCUGCCGGCAACGGCAGGCCCAGAGGAAUGACCGUCACCUCGCCAGAGGGACAGAAUCCGGCUUAUCGGUCCGCUCCC
Molecule: RNase P RNA, 403 nt
Filed under: Lautropia dentalis
Lineage: Bacteria; Pseudomonadati; Pseudomonadota; Betaproteobacteria; Burkholderiales; Burkholderiaceae
Description: Bacterial RNase P class A
Rfam family: Bacterial RNase P class A
About the family: Ribonuclease P (RNase P) is a ubiquitous endoribonuclease, found in archaea, bacteria and eukarya as well as chloroplasts and mitochondria. Its best characterised activity is the generation of mature 5'-ends of tRNAs by cleaving the 5'-leader elements of precursor-tRNAs.
Source: RNAcentral